This 527-nucleotide ribosomal RNA is filed under the name uncultured Glomus. RNAcentral's name for it is "SSU rRNA". It matches the Rfam family "Eukaryotic small subunit ribosomal RNA", at positions 561 to 1092 of the family's 1831-position model. The record is from RNAcentral. Lineage: Eukaryota; Fungi; Glomeromycota; Glomeromycetes; Glomerales; Glomeraceae.
CUGGUGCCAGCAGCGCGGUAAUCAGCUCCAAUAGCGUAUAUUAAAGUUGUUGCAGUUAAAAGCUCGUAGUUGAAUUUCGGGGUUAGUAGGUUGGUCAUGCCUCUGGUAUGUACUGGUCUCACUGAUUCCUCCUUCCUGAUGAACCGUAAUGCCAUUAAUUUGGUGUUGCGGGGAAUUUGGACUGUUACUUUGAAAAAAUUAGAGUGUUUAAAGCAAGCUAACGCUUGAAUACAUUAGCAUGGAAUAAUGAAAUAGGACGUUCGAUCCUAUUUUGUUGGUUUCUAGGAUUGACGUAAUGAUUAAUAGGGAUAGUUGGGGGCAUUAGUAUUCAAUUGUCAGAGGUGAAAUUCUUGGAUUUAUUGAAGACUAACUACUGCGAAAGCAUUUGCCAAGGAUGUUUUCAUUAAUCAAGAACGAAAGUUAGGGGGAUCGAAGACGAUCAGAUACCGUCGUAGUCUUAACCAUAAACUAUGCCGACUAGGGAUCGGAUGAUGUUAAUUUUUUAAUGACUCAUUCGGCGCCUUACG